UCCUGACUGACCGAUAGUGAACCAGUACCGUGAGGGAAAGGCGAAAAGAACCCCGGCGAGGGGAGUGAAAAAGAACCUGAAACCGUGUACGUACAAGCAGUGGGAGCACGCUUAGGCGUGUGACUGCGUACCUUUUGUAUAAUGGGUCAGCGACUUAUAUUCUGUAGCAAGGUUAACCGAAUAGGGGAGCCGAAGGGAAACCGAGUCUUAACUGGGCGUUAAGUUGCAGGGUAUAGACCCGAAACCCGGUGAUCUAGCCAUGGGCAGGUUGAAGGUUGGGUAACACUAACUGGAGGACCGAACCGACUAAUGUUGAAAAAUUAGCGGAUGACUUGUGGCUGGGGGUGAAAGGCCAAUCAAACCGGGAGAUAGCUGGUUCUCCCCGAAAGCUAUUUAGGUAGCGCCUCGUGAAUUCAUCUCCGGGGGUAGAGCACUGUUUCGGCAAGGGGGUCAUCCCGACUUACCAACCCGAUGCAAACUGCGAAUACCGGAGAAUGUUAUCACGGGAGACACACGGCGGGUGCUAACGUCCGUCGUGAAGAGGGAAACAACCCAGACCGCCAGCUAAGGUCCCAAAGUCAUGGUUAAGUGGGAAACGAUGUGGGAAGGCCCAGACAGCCAGGAUGUUGGCUUAGAAGCAGCCAUCAUUUAAAGAAAGCGUAAUAGCUCACUGGUCGAGUCGGCCUGCGCGGAAGAUGUAACGGGGCUAAACCAUGCACCGAAGCUGCGGCAGCGACGCUUAUGCGUUGUUGGGUAGGGGAGCGUUCUGUAAGCCUGCGAAGGUGUGCUGUGAGGCAUGCUGGAGGUAUCAGAAGUGCGAAUGCUGACAUAAGUAACGAUAAAGCGGGUGAAAAGCCCGCUCGCCGGAAGACCAAGGGUUCCUGUCCAACGUUAAUCGGGGCAGGGUGAGUCGACCCCUAAGGCGAGGCCGAAAGGCGUAGUCGAUGGGAAACAGGUUAAUAUUCCUGUACUUGGUGUUACUGCGAAGGGGGGACGGAGAAGGCUAUGUUGGCCGGGCGACGGUUGUCCCGGUUUAAGCGUGUAGGCUGGUUUUCCAGGCAAAUCCGGAAAAUCAAGGCUGAGGCGUGAUGACGAGGCACUACGGUGCUGAAGCAACAAAUGCCCUGCUUCCAGGAAAAGCCUCUAAGCAUCAGGUAACAUCAAAUCGUACCCCAAACCGACACAGGUGGUCAGGUAGAGAAUACCAAGGCGCUUGAGAGAACUCGGGUGAAGGAACUAGGCAAAAUGGUGCCGUAACUUCGGGAGAAGGCACGCUGAUAUGUAGGUGAAGUCCCUUGCGGAUGGAGCUGAAAUCAGUCGAAGAUACCAGCUGGCUGCAACUGUUUAUUAAAAACACAGCACUGUGCAAACACGAAAGUGGACGUAUACGGUGUGACGCCUGCCCGGUGCCGGAAGGUUAAUUGAUGGGGUCAGCGCAAGCGAAGCUCUUGAUCGAAGCCCCGGUAAACGGCGGCCGUAACUAUAACGGUCCUAAGGUAGCGAAAUUCCUUGUCGGGUAAGUUCCGACCUGCACGAAUGGCGUAAUGAUGGCCAGGCUGUCUCCACCCGAGACUCAGUGAAAUUGAACUCGCUGUGAAGAUGCAGUGUACCCGCGGCAAGACGGAAAGACCCCGUGAACCUUUACUAUAGCUUGACACUGAACAUUGAGCCUUGAUGUGUAGGAUAGGUGGGAGGCUUUGAAGUGUGGACGCCAGUCUGCAUGGAGCCGGCCUUGAAAUACCACCCUUUAAUGUUUGAUGUUCUAACGUGGACCCGUGAUCCGGGUUGCGGACAGUGUCUGGUGGGUAGUUUGACUGGGGCGGUCUCCUCCUAAAGAGUAACGGAGGAGCACGAAGGUUGGCUAAUCCUGGUCGGACAUCAGGAGGUUAGUGCAAUGGCAUAAGCCAGCUUGACUGCGAGCGUGACGGCGCGAGCAGGUGCGAAAGCAGGUCAUAGUGAUCCGGUGGUUCUGAAUGGAAGGGCCAUCGCUCAACGGAUAAAAGGUACUCCGGGGAUAACAGGCUGAUACCGCCCAAGAGUUCAUAUCGACGGCGGUGUUUGGCACCUCGAUGUCGGCUCAUCACAUCCUGGGGCUGAAGUAGGUCCCAAGGGUAUGGCUGUUCGCCAUUUAAAGUGGUACGCGAGCUGGGUUUAGAACGUCGUGAGACAGUUCGGUCCCUAUCUGCCGUGGGCGCUGGAGAACUGAGGGGGGCUGCUCCUAGUACGAGAGGACCGGAGUGGACGCAUCACUGGUGUUCGGGUUGUCAUGCCAAUGGCACUGCCCGGUAGCUAAAUGCGGAAG
This 2302-nucleotide ribosomal RNA is filed under the name Shigella sonnei. RNAcentral describes it as "partial 23S ribosomal RNA". It matches the Rfam family "Bacterial large subunit ribosomal RNA", at positions 474 to 2761 of the family's 2925-position model. The record is from RNAcentral. Lineage: Bacteria; Pseudomonadati; Pseudomonadota; Gammaproteobacteria; Enterobacterales; Enterobacteriaceae.